UGAAAGAGAGGGGCAAAAAUCACCAAGUUACCUUUCAUCUAGGAAGAUAAGGGGAGCCAGCAUCCUGUACUUCUGUGGAAGAUCCUGACUGAGAGACAUUCAGCCAUGCUGGAGAAAGCGUGAUCGAAUGUUUGUCCAAGUCAAAAUGCUAUACCAGCAGAAUUUGCACUGUUUCCCAGAACCUAGCUGGCAGUGGUGGUGUUGUCUGUAGCAUGUGUUGGUCCCAGGAGAUGAGCCCAGGUACCCUCAGAGAGAGAAGAGAUCUGGAUAGUCGGUGACAAGCUCACACUAACACAAUACCUCACCCAGACAGUAAGGUCUACUUUCAGCAAUAAGGAAGGGGGCCAGAACAGGGGGAAGUGACUCUGCCAACCUUCAGGAAUCUGCACAGACCUUCCUUGACUUCUGGAUGGAGUUCCUGGAGCAUCCUGCUGUAGACUGUGUGAAC
This is a long non-coding RNA of Malaclemys terrapin pileata, 448 nucleotides long. RefSeq lists it as uncharacterized. The transcript is spliced from 3 exons. NCBI's taxonomy places the organism in Eukaryota, Metazoa, Chordata, Testudines, Emydidae. The record is from RefSeq and is a predicted model, not a curated record.